GGCGAACGGGUGAGGAUUACAUGGGUAACCUACCCUCGAGUGGGGGAUAACCAGCCGAAAGGUUGGCUAAUACCGCGUACGCUUCCGGAACUGCGGUUUCGGAAGGAAAGCGAUACCGUGGGUAUCGCGCUCUUGGAUGGGCUCAUGCCCUAUCAGCUUGUUGGUGAGGUAACGGCUCACCAAGGCUUCGACGGGUAGCUGAUCUGAGAGGAUGAUCAGCCACACUGGCACUGCGACACGGGCCAGACUCCUACGGGAGGCAGCAGUAAGGAAUAUUGCGCAAUGGGCGAAAGCCUGACGCAGCGACGCCGCGUGGGGGAUGAAGGUCUUCGGAUUGUAAACCCCUUUCGGGAGGGAAGAUGGGAUGGGGUAACCCAUUCGGACGGUACCUCCAGAAGCAGCCACGGCUAACUUCGUGCCAGCAGCCGCGGUAAUACGAAGGUGGCAAGCGUUGUUCGGAUUUACUGGGCGUACAGGGAGCGUAGGCGGUUGGGUAAGCCCUCCGUGAAAUCUCCAGGCUUAACCUGGAAAGUGCAGAGGGGACUGCUUAGCUAGAGGAUGGGAGAGGAGCGCGGAAUUCCCGGUGUAGCGGUGAAAUGCGUAGAGAUCGGGAGGAAGGCCGGUGGCGAAGGCGGCGCUCUGGAACAUUUCUGACGCUGAGGCUCGAAAGCGUGGGGAGCAAACAGGAUUAGAUACCCUGGUAGUCCACGCCUUAAACGAUGGAUACUAAGUGUCGGCGGGUUACCGCCGGUGC
RNAcentral lists this ribosomal RNA (754 nucleotides) under uncultured soil bacterium. RNAcentral describes it as "bacterial SSU rRNA". It matches the Rfam family "Bacterial small subunit ribosomal RNA", at positions 97 to 846 of the family's 1533-position model. The record is from RNAcentral.